GACGAACGCUGGCGGCGUGCCUAACACAUGCAAGUCGAACGGAAAGGCCCUGCUUUUGUGGGGUGCUCGAGUGGCGAACGGGUGAGUAACACGUGAGUAACCUGCCCUUGACUUUGGGAUAACUUCAGGAAACUGGGGCUAAUACCGGAUAGGAGCUCCUGCUGCAUGGUGGGGGUUGGAAAGUUUCGGCGGUUGGGGAUGGACUCGCGGCUUAUCAGCUUGUUGGUGGGGUAGUGGCUUACCAAGGCUUUGACGGGUAGCCGGCCUGAGAGGGUGGCCGGCCACCUUGGGCCUGAGAGACGGACCAGACUCCUACGGGAGGCAGCAGUGGGGAAUAUUGCGCAGUGGGCGGGAGCCUGAUGCAGCAACGCCGCGUGCGUGAUGCCGGCCUUCGGGUUGUGAACCGCUUUCGCCUGUGACGAAGCGUGAGUGACGGUAAUGGGUAAAGAAGCACCGGCUAACUACGUG
This 468-nucleotide ribosomal RNA is filed under the name uncultured bacterium. RNAcentral describes it as "partial 16S ribosomal RNA". It matches the Rfam family "Bacterial small subunit ribosomal RNA", at positions 28 to 507 of the family's 1533-position model. The record is from RNAcentral.